Molecule: non-coding RNA, 136 nt
Organism: Triticum aestivum (bread wheat)
Lineage: Eukaryota; Viridiplantae; Streptophyta; Magnoliopsida; Poales; Poaceae
Source: Rfam
AUUCUACUCCCUCCGUUCCACAAUACAUGCCUUCUAUUUGUCAAAUCAUAGAUGUAUCUAGACAUGUUUUAGUAUAUAGGUACAUCCAUUUUUGGACAAAUGGAAGUCAAGUAUUUUGGAAUGGAGGGAGUACAAA